This 253-nucleotide ribosomal RNA is filed under the name uncultured bacterium. RNAcentral's name for it is "partial 16S ribosomal RNA". It matches the Rfam family "Bacterial small subunit ribosomal RNA", at positions 524 to 776 of the family's 1533-position model. The record is from RNAcentral.
UACGUAGGGUGCAAGCGUUGUCCGGAAUUAUUGGGCGUAAAGAGCUCGUAGGCGGUCUGUCGCGUCGGCUGUGAAAACCCGGGGCUCAACCCCGGGCCUGCAGUCGAUACGGGCAGACUAGAGUGCGGUAGGGGAGACUGGAAUUCCUGGUGUAGCGGUGAAAUGCGCAGAUAUCAGGAGGAACACCGGUGGCGAAGGCGAGUCCCUGGACAUUUCCUGACACUGAGGCACGAAAGCUAGGGGAGCAAACAGG